Molecule: ribosomal RNA, 475 nt
Filed under: Lineus ruber
Lineage: Eukaryota; Metazoa; Nemertea; Pilidiophora; Heteronemertea; Lineidae
Description: partial 16S ribosomal RNA
Rfam family: Archaeal large subunit ribosomal RNA
Source: RNAcentral
UAUUGAUUUUUAUAAUAAGUUUUUUCUGCCCGGUGGUGUUUUAACGGCCGCGGUAUUUUGACCGUGCAAAGGUAGCAUAAUCAUUUGUCCUUUAAUUGGGGGCUAGAAUGAAAGAAAGCAUGAAGCUUUCCCUGUCUCUCUUUUAUUUUUGUAAUUUGCUGUUUUUGUGAAGAAGCAAAAGUUGUCGAAAAAGACAAGAAGACCCUAUUAAGCUUUAUCUUUUUGUUUUUAUUCAGUUGAAUAUAAAAACAAAAAGAUUUGGUUGGGGUGACUAAAGAAGAAAAAUUUAUCUUCUUUUUUAAAAGGAACCAUUUGUUUAAGAAAGACCCAGAACUUUUUGGUUGUAAGAAUUAGUUACUAUAGGGAUAACAGCGUUAUCUUUUCAUAAAGUUCUUAUUGAAGAAAAGGAUUGCGACCUCGAUGUUGACUUAUUUUAUCCUGUUGAGGUGUAGCAGCUGUAAGGGUUGGUCUGUUC